UAACCAUCCAUGACAGGUGGUCCCUUAUUUACAUGUGGGACCCGCAUUCUGGCGGACAGGUCGUACUUCCGUGCUCGCGGUGACGCCGCGUCGCCGCCGGCGAUCAGAUCCAGUGCUUCUCGUAGGUAGCGGCGUCGGCGGUGGUCAUGUGGUCGACCGCGGCGUGGUGGUGGGCCCACCACCACAUACGCCUCCUUCUCCCGGCCCUCUUCCUCGCCGCCGCCCUCUUCUUCUUCCUCGCCUCCCCGCGCUCCUCCCCAUCCUUCUUCGCCCUACCGGCCUCCAGGGAGCAUUCGCCGUCGGGGUCGCGGCUCAUAUGGGCGCAGCGGCGUUUGGCGGAGUGGCGGCCGUGCGAGUGGUGGCAGACGGCAAUGCCCGCAGCUCCGUCGACGAGGAAUGGCUACAUCAGGAUAGAUUGCUACGGCGGCCUCAACCAGCUGCGGCGCGAUCUGUGCGAUGGAAUUGCGGUUGCACGUCUUCUGAACGCGACAAUGGUUCUGCCCAAGUUUGAGGUUGCUGCAUACUGGAAUGAGUCUAGUGGUUUUGCAGACGUGUUUGAUGUUGAUCACUUCAUUGAGCAAACUAGAGGUUAUGUGGAAGUGGUGAAGGAUAUGCCCGAGGAGAUAUCGUUGAAAGAGCCAUUUAAGGUCGAUUGCCGAAAACGGAAAGGACAUUUUGAUUAUGUAGAAACAGUUCUUCCAGCUCUUUUAGAACAUCGAUACAUUUCUCUGACACCUGCCAUGAGCCAAAGAAAAGAUAGAUAUCCAGCACAUGCGAAAGCUUGUUACUGCCAAGGUUGCUACAAUGCACUCCAGUUGAACAAGAAGGUGGAAGCCAAAGCUAUGGAGCUUCUCCAAGCGAUACCAAAACCUUUCUUAUCACUUCACCUUAGAUUUGAACCAGAUAUGGUUGCCUACAGUCGAUGUGAAUACAGUGCCCUUUCUUCCAAAUCACUGGAUGUGAUUGAAGCUGCACGUGGGGAGGACAGGAAUGUAUUGAUUGGUGAUGCUGCUCAUCUGUGGAGGAACCGUGGAAAGUGCCCUCUAACACCAAGUGAGACAGCAUUUAUCCUCCAAGCACUAGGUAUUCCUACGGAGACAAACAUUUAUUUAGCUGCUGGGGAUGGGUUAAUGGAACUCGAGGGCUUCACUUCGAUCUACAAAAAUAUGUAUACUAAAUCGUCUCUCCUGACUCAUGAAGAUUUUGAGAGGAUGCAUGGCAACACAAAAGCUGCUCUCGACUACUAUGUUUCAGUCAACAGCGAUGCUUAUGUUACCACAUUCUUUGGAAAUAUGGAUAAGAUGGUAACUGCAAUGAGAACAAUGCAAGGGCUGCAGAAGACAUUGGUCUUGAGUAGGAGGGCCUUCGCAAACUACACGGCUGCUGGACUGGCAGGGGACCAACUAGCUAAGGCCAUGUGGGAUGCUCACCGAGAGGAUUAUAUCAUGGGGAGGGGAUUAGCUCUCCCUGAACAUUGCUUUUGUGAGUUCAAGUUGUAGUACAAAUGAGCCCAUAUAACACAAGGGCUAGUCUACACGGCCACCUUCCAAUUGGUAGCACUAAUAGAUCGCAUUGUGGCUGAGUUGCUACUGCAGUGGGCGUUAUGCCCAAUCUUCAGAAGAAACUGUUCUUCAUCAGAGUCGCGAGCUGCACAGCGUCUUGAUUCAGGGAGCAAUUAUCACUCAUACAGCAAUGCAUCAUGGCCUCUCCUCCUGUAUACUGUUUCCGGGACUUGUUUGGUUCUUGAUGCCCUGGUCAGUUUUGCUUCUAGAAGGAGAAUCGGAUUCGGAUUCCAACAACUGUCCCAUCUCGAUUGUUAACAAGUCAAUGGGAACUAUGUUUAACAAGAAGCCCUAAAUGCAAUGCAUGAUGCAUUCCGCGCCAACGAGUGGAGUGUGCAUCAAUCACCCACUGGCGGUUGAUACAUUAAACAACACUUCCAGUUGCACAGGCCAUAUUCGUCAUCACUCCGUGUUUGGGCUAGUAGUCUAUGCGACCAGUGGUUACUUUCAUAUUUUACGUCAUGGCAAGUAAGCUUAAAUAAAUUGGUGUUGAGCAUGUCAUCUUUAACUGUAUUCCGUUGCUCGCGCCUUCAGUUUGGCAGCUGAAGCAAGCAACAGACGGAAGGAUAACCUCUCGAGAGUGUAUACCUCUUUUUUCAUCAUCGCCUUUUCAAAUACGCAGACUGAUGCAAGUAGUGUGAUGUCAAAUUUAAUUUGAAACAUGCUGCACGUACCAGUGGCCAUCGUUUUGUUGCAAUAUCGACUGCGUUGGACAAGUUAUAAAACGACAUGUUAGAAAGGACAGUGGGCGUGGGUGCUUUAUUUGCUGUCUCUGAAGGGGGAAAAGGCCACUAGAUUAUCUUGACCUUGUGUGAACGCCGAGGACUCCAAGUCAAUGACUUGAACCUGAGGAGACGUGAUGCAACUUC
Triticum dicoccoides is the source of this 2431-nucleotide RNA transcript. It is a transcript of the gene named O-fucosyltransferase 13-like, with no coding region annotated. Lineage: Eukaryota; Viridiplantae; Streptophyta; Magnoliopsida; Poales; Poaceae. The transcript has 7 exons. The record is from RefSeq and is a predicted model, not a curated record.